UACUAUAUCACUCGGGGGUAUAGUAGUGUUUAUUAGAUACAGAACCAAUACACCUUUUUUAAAGGGUGUAGAAAAAGGUGAUUCAUAGUAACCGAACGGAUCGCAUUAUAAUCAUUUCGAUGAUUGGCGAUAGAUCAUUCAAGUUUCUGACCUAUCAGCUUUCGACGGUAGUGUAUUGGACUACCGUGGCAGUGACGGGUAACGGGGAAUUAGGGUUCGAUUCCGGAGAGGGAGCCUGAGAAACGGCUACCACAUCUAAGGAAGGCAGCAGGCGCGCAAAUUACCCAAUCCUGACUCAGGGAGGUAGUGACAAGAAAUAACAACACUGGAAAUUCUAUUUCUAGUGAUUGGAAUGAUGGGAAUCCAAACCCCUUUCAGAGUAACAAUUGGAGGGCAAGUCUGGUGCCAGCAGCCGCGUUAAUUCCAGCUCCAAUAGCGUAUAUUAAAGUUGUUGCAGUUAAAAAGCUCGUAGUUGGAUAUCUGCUGGAAGCAAUCAGUCCGCCCUUUUAUUGAGGGUGUGUACUUGAUGAAUUCUGGCAUGAUUAUCUUCCCACUGAUAAUAUUAUUAUAUUAGGUUAAUUCCUAAUAUGGUAAUAAUUAUUUUUGGGAAGAGACGGCAGUUACUUUGAGAAAAUUAGAGUGUUUGAAGCAGGCUUGUUGCCUUGAAUACUGCAGCAUGGAAUAACAAUAUAGGAUUUCGGUUCUAUUUUGUUGGUUUCUAGGACUGAAAUAAUGAUUAAUAGGGACAGUUGGGGGCAUUCGUAUUUAACUGUCAGAGGUGAAAUCUG
RNAcentral lists this ribosomal RNA (788 nucleotides) under Sarcocystis fusiformis. Its description in RNAcentral is "SSU rRNA". It matches the Rfam family "Eukaryotic small subunit ribosomal RNA", at positions 174 to 920 of the family's 1831-position model. Lineage: Eukaryota; Apicomplexa; Conoidasida; Eucoccidiorida; Sarcocystidae. The record is from RNAcentral.